Molecule: non-coding RNA, 21 nt
Filed under: Arabidopsis thaliana (thale cress)
Lineage: Eukaryota; Viridiplantae; Streptophyta; Magnoliopsida; Brassicales; Brassicaceae
Source: RNAcentral
AUAGUACCCGAGAAUGAUGAG